RNAcentral lists this ribosomal RNA (369 nucleotides) under uncultured bacterium. RNAcentral's name for it is "bacterial SSU rRNA". It matches the Rfam family "Bacterial small subunit ribosomal RNA", at positions 527 to 898 of the family's 1533-position model. The record is from RNAcentral.
GGAGGGUGCAAGCGUUAUCCGGAUUCACUGGGUUUAAAGGGUGCGUAGGCGGAUUAGUAAGUCCGUGGUGAAAUCUCCAAGCUUAACUUGGAAACUGCCGUGGAUACUAUUAGUCUUGAAUGUUGUGGAGGUUAGCGGAAUAUGUCAUGUAGCGGUGAAAUGCAUAGAUAUGACAUAGAACACCAAUUGCGAAGGCAGCUGGCUACACAAAUAUUGACGCUGAUGCACGAAAGCGUGGGGAUCAAACAGGAUUAGAUACCCUGGUAGUCCACGCCCUAAACGAUGAUUACUCGACAUUUGCGAUAUACAGUAAGUGUCUGAGCGAAAGCAUUAAGUAAUCCACCUGGGAAGUACGACCGCAAGGUUGAA